UGGAAACUGUNUGACUUGAGUGCAGAAGGGGAGAGUGGAAUUCCAUGUGUAGCGGUGAAAUGCGUAGAUAUAUGGAGGAACANCAGUGGCGAAAGCGGCUCUCUGGUCUGUCACUGACGCUGAGGCUCGAAAGCGUGGGUAGCGAACAGGAUUAGAUACCCUGGUAGUCCACGCCGUAAACGAUGAGUGCUAGGUGUUAGGCCCUUUCCGGGGCUUAGUGCCGGAGCUAACGCAAUAAGCACUCCGCCUGGGGAGUACGACCGCAAGGUUGAAACUCAAAGGAAUUGACGGGGGCCCGCACAAGCGGUGGAGCAUGUGGUUUAAUUCGAAGCAACGCGAAGAACCUUACCAGGUCUUGACAUCCCGAUGCUAUUCUUAGAGAUAGGAAGUUACUUCGGUACAUCGGAGACAGGUGGUGCAUGGUUGUCGUCAGCUCGUGUCGUGAGAUGUUGGGUUAAGUCCCGCAACGAGCGCAACCCUUAUUGUUAGUUGCCAUCAUUAAGUUGGGCACUCUAGCGAGACUGCCGGUAAUAAACCGGAGGAAGGUGGGGAUGACGUCAAAUCAUCAUGCCCCUUAUGACCUGGGCUACACACGUGCUACAAUGGUCGGUACAACGAGUUGCGAGCCGGUGACGGCAAGCUAAUCUCUGAAAGCCGAUCUCAGUUCGGAUUGGAGGCUGCAACUCGCCUCCAUGAAGUCGGAAUCGCUAGUAAUCGCGGAUCAGCACGCCGCGGUGAAUACGUUCCCGGGCCUUGUACACACCGCCCGUCACACCACGAGAGUUUGUAACACCCGAAGUCGGUGAGGUAACCUUUUAGGGGCCAGCC
This 828-nucleotide ribosomal RNA is filed under the name uncultured bacterium. RNAcentral's name for it is "bacterial SSU rRNA". It matches the Rfam family "Bacterial small subunit ribosomal RNA", at positions 627 to 1454 of the family's 1533-position model. The record is from RNAcentral.